This 253-nucleotide ribosomal RNA is filed under the name uncultured bacterium. Its description in RNAcentral is "partial 16S ribosomal RNA". It matches the Rfam family "Bacterial small subunit ribosomal RNA", at positions 524 to 776 of the family's 1533-position model. The record is from RNAcentral.
UACGUAGGGGGCUAGCGUUGUCCGGAAUUAUUGGGCGUAAAGGGCUCGUAGGCGGUUUGUCGCGUCGGGAGUGAAAACUCAGGGCUUAACCCUGAGCCUGCUUCCGAUACGGGCAGACUAGAGGUAUGCAGGGGAGAACGGAAUUCCUGGUGUAGCGGUGAAAUGCGCAGAUAUCAGGAGGAACACCGGUGGCGAAGGCGGGUCUCUGGGCAGUAACUGACGCUGAGGAGCGAAAGCGUGGGGAGCAAACAGG